RNAcentral lists this ribosomal RNA (468 nucleotides) under uncultured bacterium. Its description in RNAcentral is "partial 16S ribosomal RNA". It matches the Rfam family "Bacterial small subunit ribosomal RNA", at positions 28 to 507 of the family's 1533-position model. The record is from RNAcentral.
GACGAACGCUGGCGGCGUGCUUAACACAUGCAAGUCGAACGGAAAGGCCCUGCUUUUGUGGGGUGCUCGAGUGGCGAACGGGUGAGUAACACGUGAGUAACCUGCCCUUGACUUUGGGAUAACUUCAGGAAACUGGGGCUAAUAUCGGAUAGGAGCUCCUGCUGCAUGGUGGGGGUUGGAAAGUUUCGGCGGUUGGGGAUGGACUCGCGGCUUAUCAGCUUGUUGGUGGGGUAGUGGCUUACCAAGGCUUUGACGGGUAGCCGGCCUGAGAGGGUGACCGGCCACAUUGGGACUGAGAGACGGCCCAGACUCCUACGGGAGGCAGCAGUGGGGAAUAUUGCACAGUGGGCGGAAGCCUGAUGCAGCAACGCCGCGUGCGGGAUGACGGCCUUCGGGUUGUAAACCGCUUUCGCCUGUGACGAAGCGUGAGUGACGGUAAUGGGUAAAGAAGCACCGGCUAACUACGUG